RNAcentral lists this non-coding RNA (103 nucleotides) under human gut metagenome. RNAcentral describes it as "Moco (molybdenum cofactor) riboswitch". It matches the Rfam family "Molybdenum/Tungsten riboswitch aptamer (Moco RNA motif)", at positions 11 to 124 of the family's 135-position model. The record is from RNAcentral.
AACGAUUUUCCGAGCUUAAUCGUCUAAAGUGUUUACCAUGAAGGUUAAGUCAUUGGGUAGAAGGAGAAAUCCUUUUGCCUCCCGUGUUUGGAAAGGAAGAUAA